UUGUAAGUAAUGAAGAGCGUACGGUGGAUGCCUUGGCACCAGGAGCCGAUGAAGGACGUAGGAGGCUGCGAUAAGCCUCGGGGAGCUGUCAACCGAGCUGAGAUCCGAGGAUUUCCGAAUGGGGAAACCCAGCACGAGUGAUGUCGUGUUACCCGCACCUGAAUAUAUAGGGUGUGUGGAGGGAACGUGGGGAAGUGAAACAUCUCAGUACCCACAGGAAGAGAAAACAACCGUGAUUCCGUGAGUAGUGGCGAGCGAAAGCGGAAGAGGCCAAACCAUGUACAUGUGAUACCCGGCAGGGGUUGUGUGCGUGGGGUUGUGGGGUCAUCUUUGUCAAUUCUGCCGGAUUGGCCGACAGUAAGAAAUCAUCGUGUUAGUCGAAGUGGUCUGGAACGGCCUGUCGUAGAGGGUGAGAGUCCCGUAGACGAAAACAUGGUGACUGUCGUAGGUGAUGCCCAAGUAGCAGCGGGCCCGUGAAAUCUGCUGUGAAUCUGUCGGGACCACCCGAUAAGCCUGAAUACUCCCUGGUGACCGAUAGCGGACUAGUACCGUGAGGGAAAGGUGAAAAGUACCCCGGGAGGGGAGUGAAAUAGUACCUGAAACCGUGCGCUUACAAUCCGUCAGAGCCUUCGAGCAGCUUGCUGCUGGGGGUGAUGGCGUGCCUUUUGAAGAAUGAGCCUGCGAGUUAGUGGCAUGUCGCGAGGUUAACCCGUGUGGGGUAGCCGUAGCGAAAGCGAGUCCGAAUAGGGCGUUUUAGUGGCAUGUUCUAGACCCGAAGCGGAGUGAUCUACCCAUGGCCAGGGUGAAGCGACGGUAAGACGUCGUGGAGGCC
This 832-nucleotide non-coding RNA is filed under the name Rhodococcus sp. RD6.2. RNAcentral describes it as "Bacterial large subunit ribosomal RNA". It matches the Rfam family "Bacterial large subunit ribosomal RNA", at positions 1 to 774 of the family's 2925-position model. Lineage: Bacteria; Bacillati; Actinomycetota; Actinomycetes; Mycobacteriales; Nocardiaceae. The record is from Rfam by way of RNAcentral.